UCAAAAAUUGGUUAUCAGCUUCUGAAAAAUCCGCGGCUGCGUGCACCACCUGGAAAAAAUGUCUGGGGCACUCUGGGGAAAAGUUUGGGGCUUUUUUCUGGGAGCACAGAAUAUUUCAUGGAAGAUCGUUUUGUUGUCGCAAAAAUUCCAAAAAUAUAAAAUCUCGCCAGCCAAAAAAUUAGGGCCAACAUGGUUCCGCGUUUCGUUAUGUAAUUGCCGCGUCCCGUCCAAAAAGGAGAAGCAAAAACCAAAGGAAAAAAGAUACACACACACACACACAUUUUUUGGGAGAGAUCGAAGUGUUUCGAAAUGGAAAAAAAGGGCCGCGCAUUCGUCCUGGUAUCUUCUCUGUUGCCGCGACAAGGCUGAGUUGACAGUUCGUUUCUCGAAAGCGUAACUGAAACGCAAAAGUGGCCUGAGAGGAGAAGCUUUACGUAUUAUAUAAUACAAU
Molecule: unclassified non-coding RNA, 451 nt
Filed under: Bombus terrestris (buff-tailed bumblebee)
Lineage: Eukaryota; Metazoa; Arthropoda; Insecta; Hymenoptera; Apidae
Description: misc RNA ENSBTSG00005038901.1
Source: RNAcentral